Molecule: long non-coding RNA, 3050 nt
Organism: Equus caballus (horse)
Lineage: Eukaryota; Metazoa; Chordata; Mammalia; Perissodactyla; Equidae
Source: Ensembl
UAUUUGCCUCUCAUGUAGAAAAUUAGACACAGAAACCCCGUAUUUGUGAUUUACUUAGAAGUAAACUGCCAUCAAUUUCAUAUGAAAUGUAUAGUAAGCUCCUCGAUCUAUAAAUUGGCAUAAACAAUGGAAGUCCUUUAAAAAAUGGGAUGGGACACAUUCAAGGUCCAACUAGAUAUACACAAACAAUUCAUAGAUUGACAAGGAUUGGAGACCACCAGUUUAGAGAAGGCUUGGAAUAUCAGAGGUAUAAAAUUUCUGCCGGCUCUUUUUUUUUUUUUUAAAUCUUGAGGAAGCCCUGCAAUCUCUAAUCCUUAACCAUGGCUUUUCUGUAGAUAGUUCCCAAGUCCUCACUAUUCCCAGAAUUUAAGGCCUGAUUUUCCAGCUUCUUGAUGUAUAUAGUCACCUGUGCGUCCCACUGAAGUCUCAAACUCAACAUACUCUACACUGAGUUGAUCAUUGUCUCUCCCAGACUUGCUUGCCCUUCUUUUUGUUAAAGGCAUCACCAUCCUCCCUCAAUCCGAGGCCAACCCCGGGCCACCAAAGCAGAACAUGUGCACUUAACCACUGCGCCACCGGGCCGGCCCCUGGAGCUUACAUUCUUAUGGAGGAAGACAAACCUAAACCAGUAGACAGAUAAUUUCAGAUUGUGAUAAGUGCUAAGGAAACUACACGUGGUGCUAUGGUCUGAAUCUUUGUGUGCUCCCCAAAUGCACGUGUUGGAAUCCUAACACCCAAUGUGAUGGUGUUAGGAGGAGGUGGGGCCCUUUGGAGGUGAUUUGGUGAUUAGGCCCUCAUAAGUGGGAUUAGUGCUCUUAUAAUCCCAGGGAGCUCCCUCGCCCUUUCCACCACGGGAGGAUACAGCGGGAAGUCUACAACCCGGAAGAAGGCCCUCAGCUGACCGUCCAGGCUCCAACACGGUGAGAAGUGAAUUUCUGUUGUUUGUAAGCCAGCCUGUCUGUGCUACUUUGUUGCAGCAGCCUGCACAGACUUAGAUUCACGCAGGUGUAAUAACGAUCGCUAUUGCAGGGAGUGACUCUUUUACACAGAGUGGUCAGGGCAACGAAACUCGCCAGGAUCCUGAGUUUUGCUCCAUCUUCCUGCCGUUUCCCACCUGGACUUAUUCCUGCAAAAUCCUGCAGGACUUGCUUUCAGAGCCGGUGCUGCACGUGCAGUCGUUGGAACGAUCCUAAAGAUUGUUGUCCUUUUCUCUUCCUGCCUGGCUCUCCAACCAGACAGCACAUAAAACUUUGUUUGCAUGACCCUAUAGGAAUUGGGGGGACUGGGGUGGUGGAGCUUGGGCAGAGCGAGGUGAUCCGGUCUGUGAUCAGUUGAUUUCUGUCUCCAGAUGCACCCACAUCAUCUCCUUUUCCAUCCAGCACACGCAGAAUCCCACAAGCUGGGCCUGGUCCCUGCAUCAUUGCUUUACGCCCCCCUGGGCAACUCUCUCUACCAGGCUUCUGGGCUGAAGUCCAGGGCAGCUCUUCUGAGCACUUAGCAAAAUGCCUGGCGCACAGUAGGCACACAACAAAUAUUUCCUGAAUGAAUGACUUCUGACUUAAUCAUUUUGUACCUUACUUAGUGUCUCUGAAAUUGUAAGGGCUCCAUACAUUUUGAUGCUUCAGGGAGAGGCUUUAGUAUUUCUCCCCCUUUGUCUGAUUCUUCUAAAUUCAAAAAAUAUCUUCACAGCUGCUCUUUCCACAAAACUUCUGUGAAGCUGGUUAUUUUUUAUUUAAAAAAAGAAAACAUAUGUAGUGUCUACUAUAUGCCACUAGAUAUUCUAAGCACUUUACGAAAGGUAACAUUUAAUCUUCAUACCAACGCUGGGAGGUAGGUCCUGUUAUUGUCUCCAAUUUACAGAAGAACAAACCGAGGCACAGAGAGGUCAAGUAAUUUUCCCAAAGUCGCACAGCCAAUAAAUGGCAAAGCUGGAAUUUAAACCCAGCCAGGCUGGCUUCAAAGUGUAUGCUCUUAGCUGUUAUGCUAUAACCUUUCUCUUUGCUCCACUGAGGAGGAAAUAGCUGGCAAAGGGAGGACAGAAGGUUAUUGUUGAUUGAACCUCUGCUAGGUUCCAGGUACUGUGCCAGGUCACCUCAGUUAAGCUUCAAAAUUGGAUAUUAGCUCAAAUUUGUAGAUUGAAAAAUUGUGACUCAAAGAGGUUAAGUGACUUACCUAAGGUUAUACAGAGAGUCAGUGGCAGAGUUGGGAUUCAAACUCAGAUCUGUCUGGUUGCGAUGUCUGUGUAUUUCCCCUUCUCUGUGCCAAAUGGCAGCUAAUAAACGCAGGCCCAGAAUUAGAACCUUGGCUCCCGUCUGGAUGCCUCAUGCUUGUUCCACAGGACCGGGAUGCAGUCUCCAUAAUUUUGCUCUACUAGACAAGCAGCUUUCUCAAGGCCAGUGUGGUGGUUCUUUGCAUCUCUGCUUAGAGACACUGGUCAGGCCAGGCCUCGCGAUGAGCCAGCGCUUGGUUAGAUAUCAGAACAGACUGCUCAGCCUCUCGAAAACACCUUUCCUUGACCAUAAGAUGGGGACACUAACAUUCGUGCCUCCUGCCCUGGUGGGCUAUGGCAGAGAUCUAACGACGUUAUGUUUGUGAAAGGGAUUUGAAGACUGUGAGAGUCUGUGAAGGAAACAUGGACCAGUGUGGUGCUUGAAGACAAACGCUGGGGAACCAAGGACAAAAACCUGGCAGAGCACCGCUGCAGCAAUUUUCAGUGAUCUCUCUGCAGAAACCCGGUAAUGAAGGGAUUAUCCUCUCAUUUUACAGACGAAGAAACUGAGGCUCGGAAAAGUUAAGCAACUUGGCUAAAGCCCAAUGAUUGGAAACUGGAGCCAGGAUUCAUUCUCAAUUGUAACUCCAAAGCCCAAAUAUCAUCCUGAUGAUUGUACUAAACUAUAUGGAAGUAAUUGCUUUAAACUUUCCCUUUUAUUUCUGGUGGGUUUUAUAGUCUUUGCUGGUGUUUAUCAAUCAUAAAACUAUGGGCAUCAGGCAGAUUGUAAAAAAGGCGACCUGGUGUUGGCUCAGGAAUAUACCUUAGCGGUUGGAAUGAG